AUUGAACGCUGGCGGCAUGCUUUACACAUGCAAGUCGAAUGGUAACAGGUUAAGCUGACGAGUGGCGAACGGGUGAGUAAUGCAUCGGAACGUGCCCAGUCGUGGGGGAUAACGCAGCGAAAGCUGCGCUAAUACCGCAUACGAUCUGAGGAUGAAAGCGGGGGACCGUAAGGCCUCGCGCGAUCGGAGCGGCCGAUGUCAGAUUAGGUAGUUGGUGGGGUAAAGGCUCACCAAGCCAACGAUCUGUAGCUGGUCUGAGAGGACGACCAGCCACACUGGGACUGAGACACGGCCCAGACUCCUACGGGAGGCAGCAGUGGGGAAUUUUGGACAAUGGGCGAAAGCCUGAUCCAGCAAUGCCGCGUGCAGGAAGAAGGCCUUCGGGUUGUAAACUGCUUUUGUACGGAGCGAAAAGGUCUCCUCUAAUACAGGGGGCUCAUGACGGUACCGUAAGAAUAAGCACCGGCUAACUACGUGCCAGCCGCCGCAGUAA
RNAcentral lists this ribosomal RNA (493 nucleotides) under uncultured bacterium. RNAcentral describes it as "partial 16S ribosomal RNA". It matches the Rfam family "Bacterial small subunit ribosomal RNA", at positions 30 to 523 of the family's 1533-position model. The record is from RNAcentral.